RNAcentral lists this ribosomal RNA (1326 nucleotides) under Triticum aestivum (bread wheat). RNAcentral describes it as "partial small subunit ribosomal RNA". Lineage: Eukaryota; Viridiplantae; Streptophyta; Magnoliopsida; Poales; Poaceae. The record is from RNAcentral.
AUGGAAAGCGAGUCCGGUAUGGGGACGGAGGGGGAAUCCGGCAAGGAGCAGGAUUUGCUGUUGGAUCUGGGGAGGAAACUCGGGAAGAUGGAAAUCGAGUUAGGGAAGUGGACGGAGCAGGCUUCCGGCAAGGAGCAGGAGACGGUGCGGGAUCUGAAGAAGAGGCACAGGAAACUCAGUAAGAAUCGUAGGUACCUCUUGCAAGAUAUCGUCUCAGGGAAGUUUAAGGAAUUGUAUUCCGAUUCCGGCCGCAACAGGGUAAUGGGGAUUUUCAGGGAAGCCGAGGAGCUGGACAAGGAGUUGAUGAUUAUUAAGGAGAAGGAGAAGGAGAAGGAGAAGCAGGAGACGGUGGUGGAUUCCGGCGAGGAGGAGAUGGGCAGGGAUUCGGCGCAGCACCAGUCCCUGAUGGAGGAGAUCAUAUCCGUGGAGAGGGAGCGCAAAGACCUGCUUGGCUCACUUACUCCUACCUUUUCUCUCUGGAAAGAGAUUGAUUCUCAAACAACCUGGACGAUCGCCACAACGGAGUCUGCUACUUUUUCUAGGGACAACAAUGAGAAUCCACUUGCAGACUACUUCAACCUGAUCCUCCAAGGUAUGGAGGACCUGGGUCAUCGGAUGCUUUCUACAUUAUAUUUUCUCAACAAAUCCGAUGACUCCGUCUGCUCCUACAAGGCCACCGAAUUGUGCAAUGCAGCAACCAAACUGAAUAUGCACAUCAAGGGAUUCAGCAUGAAGCCGGAGCCAGAGCCAGAGCCAGAGCCAGAGCCAGAGGAGCAGCCGGGGCAGAUCGAUUUGUCGAGUCUUUUCAGAAAAUAUUGUCGAUUUCCUGAUAAUUACAACAACACCUUGGCCCGGUUAGAUAUGGAGGAGCAUGAGGAGAACAAAUGUGAGGAUGUUCAUGUGAAGAAGACCAAGGAAGAGGAGGACAAGGAGAAGGACGUAUCCUCAAAGGAGUAUCUCAAGAAAAGGAUGGACAUCGAGCAACAAUUUUUAGCCAAUCAUCGAAAAUCCUGGGAAAAUGUGUGGGGCAGCAGGAUUGGACGGUGCGGUGGAUUUAUGGAUACAACCAUAUUGAGCCCUAUGCAAUUUACACAUCACACACCUGGUAGCAUCUUUUCCCCUGCUGCCAUCACCGGUAGUACCUUGCAAAUCUAUUCAAUCAAGAUACAGAGUAUAAAAGGCUUGAACUGGCCACUCAGAGUGUAUGGCGAGGUUGCUGCUCGAGACACUGUGGACCGCAACCGCAACAUUCUAUUUUCUCGGUCAAGGUUUGACUACCAAGAACUCAAUGGAUGUACAUGUUACCGAAGGGGAUUGGCCUUUUAA